This 689-nucleotide ribosomal RNA is filed under the name uncultured bacterium. Its description in RNAcentral is "bacterial SSU rRNA". It matches the Rfam family "Bacterial small subunit ribosomal RNA", at positions 8 to 675 of the family's 1533-position model. The record is from RNAcentral.
AGAGUUUGAUCCUGGCUCAGGAUGAACGCUGGCGGCGUGCCUAAUACAUGCAAGUCGAGCGAACAGAUGAGAAGCUUGCUUCUCUGAUGUUAGCGGCGGACGGGUGAGUAACACGUGGGUAACCUACCUAUAAGACUGGGAUAACUCCGGGAAACCGGGGCUAAUACCGGAUAAUAUAUUGAACCGCAUGGUUCAAUGUUGAAAGACGGUUUCGGCUGUCACUUAUAGAUGGACCCGCGCCGUAUUAGCUAGUUGGUAAGGUAACGGCUUACCAAGGCAACGAUACGUAGCCGACCUGAGAGGGUGAUCGGCCACACUGGAACUGAGACACGGUCCAGACUCCUACGGGAGGCAGCAGUAGGGAAUCUUCCGCAUUGGGCGAAAGCCUGACGGAGCAACGCCGCGUGAGUGAUGAAGGUCUUAGGAUCGUAAAACUCUGUUGUUAGGGAAGAACAAAUUUGUUAGUAACUGAACAAGUCUUGACGGUACCUAACCAGAAAGCCACGGCUAACUACGUGCCAGCAGCCGCGGUAAUACGUAGGUGGCAAGCGUUAUCCGGAAUUACUGGGCGUAAAGGGCGUGUAGGCGGCCAAGCAAGUCAGCUGUGAAACACCCCGGCUCAACCGUGAUUCUGCAGUUGAAACUGCGUGGGCUUGAGUGCGGGAGAGGAGGGGUGGAAUUUCCUGGUG